Molecule: ribosomal RNA, 409 nt
Filed under: uncultured bacterium
Lineage: Bacteria
Description: partial 16S ribosomal RNA
Rfam family: Bacterial small subunit ribosomal RNA
Source: RNAcentral
UGGGGAAUAUUGCACAAUGGGGGAAACCCUGAUGCAGCGACGCAGCGUGCGGGAUGACGGCCUUCGGGUUGUAAACCGCUUUCAGCAGGGAAGAAGCCUCACGGUGACGGUACCUGCAGAAGAAGUACCGGCUAACUACGUGCCAGCAGCCGCGGUAAUACGUAGGGUACGAGCGUUGUCCGGAAUUAUUGGGCGUAAAGAGCUCGUAGGUGGUUGGUCACGUCUGCUGUGGAAACGCAACGCUUAACGUUGCGCGUGCAGUGGGUACGGGCUGACUAGAGUGCAGUAGGGGAGUCUGGAAUUCCUGGUGUAGCAGUGAAAUGCGCAGAUAUCAGGAGGAACACCGGUGGCGAAGGCGGGACUCUGGGCUGUAACUGACACUGAGGAGCGAAAGCAUGGGGAGCGAACA